Molecule: unclassified non-coding RNA, 1132 nt
Filed under: Hevea brasiliensis (rubber tree)
Lineage: Eukaryota; Viridiplantae; Streptophyta; Magnoliopsida; Malpighiales; Euphorbiaceae
Source: RNAcentral
GUUCAAGUGCUUAAAAAAAAGAUAGCAUUAACAGCAAUUUAUUGUUGGAAUUUCUCUGCAAAGUUUCAUUCAUCAAUAAAUAACAGAAUUUACAAAAGUCAUUAUAUUUUCCUGUUAUGUCUCCACUCCGAUUUGAACCCGGGACGACUCGGUGGAUAACUCAGCCACCUCUUCCUGCCAUCUCCAUGCAUUCUCCGGAGUUGUAAAGGUCAUACACCCUGACUCAACUCACAAACGAAAUUUAACCAAUAAUAACAAUAUUUAAAAAAAUGACUUCCACACCUCCCCCAACCAAAAACCCAUUAACUUACCUCUUUGUACAUUGUAAGUAAAAAUCAAAACCCAUAAGAAAUAGGGAAACUCAGCCGAGUUAACCCAACUCAUCCAAUGAACUCGAAUAUUUUGGACCCGAUAAAAUUUUCUCGUGGAUACCUUUUCCUAACACGGUCUGAGUCGAUCUAGGGUCAAAGCCAGAAUGUUACUGUUUAUCUCUUUUAUUUUCAAGAAACAAACAACAACCAAAUCCCAGUUGUUAUUUUCACUUACCAUAUGGUUUAUUCAGCGAAGCCAUGAAGCAAAGGUAGAGAUUCGGUCCAAAAAUCAAGCUUACUCCUAACUCCGACAUGGCAAUACCUCUGGAAAUCUUCCAGAUUCAAGAAACAGGCCGAAUUUCCCGACUCUGAUCGCGAAAUGUAUCGAAUCACUUCCUCAAAUAUUGUCUCGUCACAGGGAAUCGAUAAGGGACCUUGGUUAGUGAAGCCAUACUCUUCCUCGGCUUGCACUAAGAGUUUCUUGAAGACCGGAUGGUUCAGGUACGUGGCGCGCACCACAAAUCUCCUGCAACUGGUUCCAACGCAGACAGCCACGUGUCCAGCAGGAACAUCUGAAGGAAUACGAUUAGCAGACAUGCGAGCCUUGUUCCGCCACCGGCGCAGCAUUUGUCGAAGCCUGACGAUGUGGCGGAUUUUGCUACAUUUUCCUAUGCCAGCUGACAUUUUUUUUCCAAGAAAAUAUAGACUCCAAUGAAAAAUGAGAGAAAAUAGUAGAAAAGCCAAGUGCCCAAAACACCAGAAGUGUAGUUAAAGCUUUGGUUCCCUUUUGCUUUGCAAGAGGAAAUUUAGGGGGGGAUUGA